Pelobates cultripes (western spadefoot toad) is the source of this 142-nucleotide non-coding RNA. The record is from the annotation of a GenBank genome assembly. Lineage: Eukaryota; Metazoa; Chordata; Amphibia; Anura; Pelobatidae.
AGCUGACGCUCUCAGCCAAUCAGUGACUCCCCAUUCACUAAAUUUACUUGGAAGAAACUUAAAUUUUCCAAGACAGUUUAGUGAAUGCGGAGUCACUGGUUGGCUGAGAGCGUCAGCUAACUGCUUUUUUUUCUUAUUAUUU